RNAcentral lists this ribosomal RNA (468 nucleotides) under uncultured bacterium. RNAcentral describes it as "partial 16S ribosomal RNA". It matches the Rfam family "Bacterial small subunit ribosomal RNA", at positions 28 to 507 of the family's 1533-position model. The record is from RNAcentral.
GACGAACGCUGGCGGCGUGCUUAACACAUGCAAGUCGAACGGAAAGGCCCUGCUUUUGUGGGGUGCUCGAGUGGCGAACGGGUGAGUAACACGUGAGUAACCUGCCCUUGACUUUGGGAUAACUUCAGGAAACUGGGGCUAAUACCGGAUAGGAGCUCCUGCUGCAUGGUGGGGGUUGGAAAGUUUCGGCGGGUGGGGAUGGACGCGCGGCUUAUCAGCUUGUUGGUGGGGUAGUGGCUUACCAAGGCUUUGACGGGUAGCCGGCCUGAGAGGGUGACCGGCCUCAUUGGGCCUGCGAUACGGCCCAGACUCCUACGGGAGGCAGCAGUGGGGAAUAUUGCACAAUGGGCGGAAGCCUGAUGCAGCAACGCCGCGUGCGGGAUGACGGCCUUCGGGUUGUAAACCGCUUUCGCCUGUGACGAAGCGUGAGUGACGGUAAUGGGUAAAGAAGCACCGGCUAACUACGUG